UCCCUAGUAACCCUAGUGCGAUUGUAGUUGAGCCUUGCCAUUUAUGCAAGUGUCAAUUCUCAGUGGGGACAGACAUUUGAUAAUUCUUUGUCUCGUUCUUAACUAGGAAUGCCUUGUACGGGUCUUGGUUCAACAGACCACCCGGAAUACGUCCCUGCCCUUUGUACACACCGCCCGUCGCUCUUACCGAUGACUUUCCCUGUGAGUUUGAAGGACUGGUGGUUGCAURGACUAUUGGAAAUUCUGUC
This 248-nucleotide ribosomal RNA is filed under the name Globigerinella siphonifera. RNAcentral's name for it is "partial 18S ribosomal RNA". It matches the Rfam family "Eukaryotic small subunit ribosomal RNA", at positions 1536 to 1780 of the family's 1831-position model. Lineage: Eukaryota; Foraminifera; Rotaliida; Globigerinidae. The record is from RNAcentral.